UAUAAAGAAAUAGGCACCUAGCACAGAAGUCCUGAUAAGGCCGUCGAGGCCACCCUGAUCUCAAUACCGAAACUGGAAGCAAUUAUAUAUCAAGACAAUACAUCAAACAACUCACAAGCUUCAACAAACCAACAAACUAGGCCAGCAUGGCCAUAACAUAGCUAUACACCUCACACGCUAGUCUGCAAGCCUCUAAGAGUAGUAAAGAUUGGCUGGACAGGGCCUCAGCCUACCCAUAAAAACAUAUACAACAAAAGCUAACAAACCUCCAAACUCUGGCAGCUCCGGAGGAAAGGGGCUAGCUAACCAGAUAGAAGUCAGUCCUGCUGCUGAGGAGGUCUACUGGGUCGUCUGUCGGGACCUGCAUACAUGAAUGCAGCGCCCUAGGCAAUGGGGCGUCAGUACAAAAUAAUGUAUAGAGUAUGAAAGGCUAUAGACUAAAUGAGCAAGUAUUAUAAUAUACCAAAAUCAAUCAGGUGAGGAAAUCAAAAUUUAAAUAAGAAUGCUAACCCAAUACUGAAUUUUAAAAAUUACAAAAAUGAUCAAACAACAACCUAACCAAGCCCCCAUAAGGUCGGUAGGUACAAACAACAUACCACCUACAUAGGCCCCCGUAAGCCCAGAAGGUGCCAAAUCAAUCUACAUAACCAUAUCGGUAACCCCUUGUCUUUGUAAGAAGUUACAUAUCCCUUUUUGGCAACGAUAUUACCCCGUAGGCAGCGCAUAGCCCUCUUAGGCAACAUCAUAGCUUUGUGGGUUGCACGUAGCCCUCUUUUGCAUCAACAUAGCCCUGUAGGCAACACAUUGCCCUCUUUGGCGUCAAAAUAGCCUCGUAGGCAACACAUAACACUCUUUGGCUGAUAUCAGUACAACCCCGGGGGCAACACAUAGACCUCUUAGGAUAUAACAUGGUCCUAUUAGACAACAUCAUAGCCCCCAUAGGCAGUUCAGAUCUCAACAGCUAACCACAAGCCCUAACGGAGACAACAAACAAUUGAAUCAGCUAAAGACGAGCAAGUUAGCUAUAAACAUAUUAUGAGUCCCUAUAAUGAGAGUUUAUAACCACUCAAUCAGCCAACCACUCACAAUUACAUCUACAAGAUCACCAACAUUAACUACCCUACUAUAUCACUCCCAAGCUCUAAGGAAACAUGUCGAACGAAGGGAAUAGUCUUAACAUACCUUUUCCUUUAUAAUUUAUGCUGAAAAUAUCUCUAUCCACACCACUAAAACACUAAAGAAAAAGGUAAAAUCAAUCAGUAAUUAAGGAUAAAAUUACUACGACAAUUCGACAAUCGAUACGGAUUUCUAUCGUAAAUUACUAUCCAAGACCUAAGGUCUCCGUAAACUGCUAAAAAGAUGGUUCCUACCUAUCUUUGAACUCCCAGAACACUUGAAUAAAUCAAAACAUUGAAAAAAAGCCUGCUGCCACAACUUUCACGUAGCUACACCGCUCAAUUUACCGUGAAAAUUAUACCAAAACGACGAGCUCGCGACGUAGGGCAAUUUUUUAUAAGGAGCCAAGAAGAGAUCAUGAACACACAAGGAUGAUUUGAGGAGUAAUUCUUUGAUUUUCGUGGGUAUCUUACGAGUUGGAAUGAAGAAAAAUGAAGAAGAUGCUAUCUUAUAAGCUUCCACCGACCUAGGGGACCCACCUCACGUGCCUGCUUGCGCAAUCUCUCUAUUCUGAAGUCGUAUGAACAAACGGUUUGUUGCGUUGGAAACUAGAAUCGUAAACCUUCGAUUCGAUAGGUUGUGGGACCCAUAAAUUUUUAUAAAUUGGGAGACAACCUCCGAGACAUUUGACCAAAAUUUCAGAGAAAUCUUUAAAAAGGAACUUACGAUAACUUUCGCCAACUUUUAUUUUGCGACUUACCUAACUUCAAAACAUGAGAUACAACCCGUGAACACUUAAAAUAUGACAUACCACAUCAUUCUUAAUUUAUUACUCACCCUCUUUGUCUUUCCACGAAGGUACGAGUUAAUUUAGACGUUUCGAAAAGUCGGGAUGUUACAACAGACUCCAUACAAGUUUAUGUAUUUACUUGUGCACACUCAAAAUUAAAGGCAUAUAUACUAACAGAAACCAAAAUAAAGGGCAUGUUUAUAUAUUAUACCUAAUUUUUAACUAACUUUAUUAAGGAGUGUAAUAACACACCUUAAAAAAUUAUUUACUUUGUAUCGAUAGGGGUAGUAAAGACAGGGAACUUUCUCAAGUCAAUUGUGUAAAAUAUACAAUUGGAUUUAUGUAUAGGUUGACUCCCGUGUUGCUUCAUUUCUCUACAAGUGUCUCAAAUAAUACAAAUUUCAUUAGUUUAGGAUCUAAUUAUAUGUUUUCACUUUUAGUUUUUGAAAUUAUCUUUUGUGCCACAUUUACUUCACCGAAUAGAUGUAUUUGGUGCACUCAAAUACAUGUAUGUCAGAUACAUGUUGAUUAAAUUAGAUGUAAUCUGUUCCAAAUACAUUAUAUUCAUAGAAAUAUUUGUAUAAUUAUGUAGUUUUUCCCAGAUUUUAAAAUCAAAAUAUGGUACCAAAUUGGGUCGGACACCAUAUUAGACUUCAUGUCUAUACGCUUAAACCAGUUCUGCACAGAGUGGGUCAUGUCCACACAAUCAAAUGGCACAAAACGAUUGGACUCCUAUGGUAAGCCUUUUGGAGUUAAGAGAGAAAAAAGACACUUAAGUGGGAGUUUGAAUUGAUUUAGUUUAAGAGGUUUUUGUUUUUUAUGUUUUUUUUUUAAUUUUGAAAGUAUUUGAGUAACACAAAAAGUAUUUUUAAUCACUUUCUUUUAGGCUGAAAAAAAAGAGUCAAAAGUUAGAUGUUCCUAACGUAUGACUUUUAGGAGUCGUUCAGAACAAAAUGCAAAAUCAUUUUAUCAUAUGUUUAGAUUAUUCAUCACAUCAUUUAUAUCAUAGUAAUGGGAUAAGUUAUUUCAUAUACAUGGUGGAAUAACUUAUAUCAACUUUUAACUUAUAAGUCACUAAAAAAAAGUCAAUCCAAACACCCCUUAAACCUCGUGGUGAACUUUCAGUUAUGUUAGCGUUACCAAUGUAUACAUCCACCAAAAAUUGUUUUCAACAAAAUGGUCAUAUGAUGUAUCGAUAUUAUAUAAAUAGUGUAUAAUCAUGUAUAUUUAUGUAUCAGUGAUUUAUAUAUACAUCUAUAUAUAAUUUUUAUACAGUAAAGUAUACGCUGCUGUUCAAUUAUUUUUCAAUCCCAACCAACUCAAAUCUUCUUUAAACAGUCCCAAAAUUUAGAUAUGAGUUCCUCUCCAAUUUUUCGAGUAUUUUCAUAUCUUAUUCACUUGAAACGACUCACAUUUCUUGCACAUCAAUUUUAAAGUCGAGCAACAAGCUUUAAACAUGGAAGAAGAAAACAAAGAAGGAAGGGAGAAGAAAAUCAACGAAGAAAUAAGGAAGAAGGAGGAAAGUAAUCAUUAAUGGCCGGAAGAAGAUCAUAGAAAAAAUAAAGAAAGAAAAGAAGGAGAGGAGGACGAAGCAGAAAACAGGGAGGAAAAUAAAACAAUAUGACUAUGACCCCGUUUGAAUUGGCUUAAAAAUAUAGCUUUUAAGUCAGAAAUAAAAGAAAAAUUUUCGCACAUAGCCACUCAAAAAUAACUUAAUUAUGAUCCAUAGCUAUAGUUUUCUAAUUUCGAUUCGUAGCUAAAUGUUAAAGGGAGAAGAGAGGUGAGCGAGAUUGGGAGAGGGAGGAGGGAGGAGAGAGGCGAGCGAGAGAGGACAGAUAGUGGAGAGAGGCAAAUUGUAUAUGUAUAUCUAUCGAAUUGUAUAUGUAUAUCUAUCAAAUAAUUGUUUACAUGCAACUGAUAUACAUAUGUAUUUGUAUAUCUGACGAGUGAGAUUUAGAGAGAGAGGAGAGAGAAAAGAGAAAGGUGAGCGAGAGAGGGCAGAGAGUGGAGAGAGGCGAAUUGUAUAUGUACAUCUAUCAAUAAUUGUAUAUAUGUAACUAAUAUACAUAUGUAUAUGUAUAUCUAGCGAGUGAUAUUGGGAGAUGGAGGAGAGAGGCGAGCGAGAUUGGGAGAGGGAGGAGAGAGGCGAGCGAGAGAGGCAGAGAGUGGCCAGAGGAUAAUUGUAUAUGUAUAUCUCUCGUAUAAUUGUGUAUAUAUAUAUAUAUAUAUAUAUAUAAUCUGUAUUUGUAUAUGUGACAUAAUUACAACUAAAAUUAAGUUGUCAGCCGUAAUUAAUUCAAACUAUAGCUAUGUUAGUUAAUUAACUAGUAUAUGUUUGCUUAUCCGCGUAAUUUUCCCAAAAUAAAAAGUCACACUGAAAUGACUUUUAAGUCAAAAAAUAUAAGUAGGGGACCUACUUUAUUUUUGACAUUACCAAACACUUCCUAACUUAUUUGAAGUCAUUUUUGACUUAUUUUAAGUUACUUUUUAUAUUUACCAAACACUUCAUUAAGUCAAAUAUUGACUUAAAAGUAGGUUUGACCAAAUUUUAAGCUAAUCCAAAUACCCUGUAAUAAUAAGGAAAAAUUACGCGGUUAAGCAAACUUAUACUACUUAAUUACUCAUCAUAGCUAUAGUUUGUUAUAAUUACUACUUGCGACUAACAUUAACAAUUAAUUAUGUGGGCUGACUUCGAGUUUGUAUAAUUAGUCACAUUUGUAUAAUUAGCUACAUUUGUAUGAUUUGCAACUAACAAUUCUUCGUUUGAUUUGUAUUUGUAUACCAUGGUUUGUAUUUGUAUAUGACGAUGAUUUCCUUUGGUUUUCCAGGUUUGUCACCAUAUACAUUCAAUCUUUUUGUGUAUAACUUUUUAAAGUUUGUAUAAACGUGUAGUUUUGGAUUUUGGAUAAUAUGAUUUAUAUAAUGUAAUUUGUAUAAUAUAAUUUGUAUAACUAUUUAAAGUUCAUAUGUUUAUGUUUGUAUCGAUUCGUUAUUUAGAGUUUUAUCAAUUCUAGACUUUAUAUUACUCAAUUAUACAAAAACACGCAAAUUAUACAAACAUACCCGCGAAUUAUACAAACGAGAUGCAAAUUAUUGCCCUCUUUCGCUCACCUCUCUCCUUCUCCCAAUCUCGCUCGCCUCUCUCCUCCCUCUGCCUAUCUCGCUCUCCUCUCUCCUCCAUCUCCCAAUCUUGCUCGCCAGAUAUACAAAUGCAUAUGCAUAAUAUACAAUUAUCUAACCAAUAUACCUAUAUAAUUCACCUCUCUCCUACCUCUCCCAAUCUCGCUCGCUACUCUCCUCCCUAUAACAUGUAUUUACGAAUCGUAAUUAGCAAAUUAUAGCUAUAAAGCGUAAUUAAACUAUUUUUGAAUGGAUAUAUGCGAAAGUUUCUCAAAUAAUAAUUGGGCCAUAUGUUGUUAUAACAAUGACCGAAUGGUCAUUUUGUUUAAUUCUGUAUAGAUACAUCUUUUAUAUAUUGUGAACACAUAAUUUUUGACGUGUUUAUUUUAAUCCUACAAUAUAUAGUAAGGUCUUUUCUUAUAUUUUUGUUGUGUAUUUUGGGUAGUUCAUCUUUGUUUAUAUUUUUUUUUAAUUGGCCCAAGUGACCCAAUUUUUUAUUAAAUUGAGUUGAUUUAGACCAAAUUCUGAUGGCCCAAUCAAUUUUGUCCCGGUCCAAUAGAAAUGGUCAAGAUUAAAUCUCAAUCAUUCAUGAUAUUUUGAUCCAAGGUCUCUUAUGGACCUACAAAAAAAAAAAAAAUACCAAACUCCAAAAAAACAAAUUUUGUAUUUGCAUUUUUUAUUUUCUUCUCCCCUUUGCUUUCACCUGCCAACGGUCGGCCACCGCCAUUGCCGCCGCCGGCCACCACCCCUUGGCCGAAAAAAUCUCCAAAAUUUUACCAUUUCUUCCUUUCACCCUCCUCUACACAAAUCCGCAAACCAUUCGUUCAUAUACAUAGCCAAACUCCACAGAUCUAAGAAAAACCAAACAUAAAUUUUCACCUUUUUCUUUAGAUUUACAAAGUUUCAGUCAUCCCCGUCCUAUAUCCUUUACAUAAAAUUGUAGAGCUCUUCAAGGGCUAUCCUUUGAUGUAAAGUUUAUGUCCAAAACCCGUCAACAAAUUUUCCGGCGGAGUUUUCCGGCGACCUCCAUUCAUCCAAAAAUUUAUGUCAAAUCAUUUUCCCCUCUCAUCCUCUAUCCAAAUUCGUCAUUAUCACUUUUUUUUUUAAAACCAUAUAAGUCGUUAUGGUGCCGAAUUUAUAUUGUUUUGUUAGUAUUCUUCAAGUUCUAUCAUGUUGAAGUUGUUGCUUGAGUUUAUUAUUUCUUAAUUUCAUUUUUUUAUUUUAUUUUAUUAUUUUCUGCCUUACUUGUGGUGUUUUGAUCUUCAAAAUAGUUUAGAUGUUUAGAUUUUGUGUUAGAACAAGUUCUAUCAUGUUGAAGUUGUUGCUUGAGUUUAUUAUUUCUUAAUUUCAUUUUUUUAUUUUAUUUUAUUAUUUUCUGCCUUACUUGUGGUGUUUUGAUCUUCAAAAUAGUUUAGAUGUUUAGAUUUUGUGUUAGAAGGCUGAUUUUCUUUUGAUUUUUGGGUCUUGAUCAAAUGAGUUUACAUUUUGGGCCUAUUUUAAAUUUUCAGAUGGCCCAUUUAGCUAUUAUUCAAUUAAUGAAUAAAAAAAAUGGGUCAUCUAAAAUGGCAUUUUGAGCCUAUUCUAAAUUUUUAGAUGACCCAUUUAGCUAUUAUUCAAUUAAUGAAUAAAAGAAAUGGGUCAUCUAAAAGGGCAAUGCAAUCUUUUAAUUAAUUUUAUCUUGGAAAAAGAACAAAGAAAAAAGAAAAGAGGAAAUUUCAUUGGUCAUCUUGGGUGGUGGCACCUUGGGAAAACAAAGAGUCUAAUGCAUGCAUUGACUCUUAAGUUUUCAAGAAGAGUGGGGGUUUAAUGCUCCACACCUAGUUAAACCCAUUAUUCUUUCAUUUCAAGAGAGAAAAAAAAAAGAACAAGAACAGCAGAUUGGACUAUCAAACAAUUUAAGUGCUGAAAUUGUAGCUAUGAGACUAGGGUUGGAAUAUUGCAGGAAUAACAAUUUAUUCCCACUGAUUAUAGAAACUGAUUCUUUAGCUGCAAUGAAAAUGGUUGAAGGGGUUUGGCACAGACCUUGGGAGGUGACUAUGGAGGUCAGAAGGAUACAUAUUCUGAAAGAUGGAUUGGAGGUGGCCAUUGUGUUCUCUUUUGCAGGUACAGAUUCUAUAUGUUAUAAUGAUUUCCAAGAUCUACCUAGUGAAGCAAAGACAAUUCUAAAUAUGGAUAAAAGUCAAAUUCCUAAUCUAAGGAUAAGAAAGUUUCAGAAUGGAGAUUUUGCACAAGAUUGAUGUUUCAGAUAAGAACAUACGAAGGAGCAUGUAUUUCAGGCUUAAAAAUACAACAGUCAUACAAUACUCUGAAGGUUGCGAGGGUAGUGAGUUAUAAUUACAAAGGCAAUGCGCGAAUUUCAGAACAAGGAAAAAACAUAAACAGUUGCAGUACAACAUCCAUACAACAUUCUGAAGAUUACGCAUAUUGGGAUCAUAUUUCGCUGGAUAACGGUAUAAAGCCAUGAGCAAAUUUCAGAACAAUGACAAUACAUAAACAGGCUGCAGUAACAUUCAUACGCUACUCUGAAGUUUGCGAAAUCAGUGAGUUUUAUUCACAUAUGGCGAAAACAUUUGUUAAAUGGCACUGAGCAAGUUACAGGUUAAGGAAAAUACCUAUGAAGGAUGCAGUAACCUCGUAGCGAAGCUCAAGACAGUGGUAUUAGCUCCUUGUUGGGCUCAACCUGUCAAAGCUAAGGGAUGAAGGUUGCGAGGUCAAUAUUAGGUAUAUGAUAAACAAAUUUGCAUAGGGAGUGAGACUAUCACCUGAUUUGAAGUCUCGAUUGAAGUACCUUGAGCUGGAGAAGUCUCCGAUUGGGAUGAUUUCAUGAUGUUGGUGAGACUAGACAACGUUCGAGAUGAAAUACACCCCAAACUCGUUGUACUGAUGUUGUGGUUUCAAGUCACUGGAGGAUGCUUGCUGGAAUGAGCUCGUCAAAGAUGGAGGAGGUUGUGCCGACCUUGCCGGUAUAAGCUCGUCGACGAUGGAGGAGCUGCGCUGAUUCUAUUUCCUUUUCCCCUUUCCCUUUUCCUUUUUGUUUUGUUUUGUUUAUAUUUUUGUUUCCUAAAAUGACUGGUUAUGUGUUGG
This 8110-nucleotide long non-coding RNA is filed under the name Solanum tuberosum (potato). RNAcentral describes it as "long non-coding RNA (STUB_LNC003425)". The record is from RNAcentral. Lineage: Eukaryota; Viridiplantae; Streptophyta; Magnoliopsida; Solanales; Solanaceae.